CCUAACCUAACACCUUCUUUUGUUCUCAGUUAACAAAGAUGGCUUUUUCUUCCUCUGUUCGUUUGUUUGCAACUGCCUCACUCUUGUUGAUGCUCCUCAUGGCCUCUGAGAGGGGAAUAAUGGCUGCGAGUCUCAGAAAAUACUCGAUGCUUCCCAUAAAAGACGCGGUCGGGUACAACGAGCAUUGUCCCGGGGAAAACCCAUAUGACACACACUGCGCUAUCUUUUGCAAUGUGCGAAACUUAUUGGCCCUUCUUCAGCAAUGUCUGCACCUGCAUGAGGAUAUGAAGGCUCGGCCGCUUUGCUAAAUACCUUAUAUAUAUAAUAAUAAUAAUAUUGCUUCCUUCAACUUCAGUGUUUGUUUUAAUAAAUAAUAAUAAUGUGAUCCAUAUAUAGCUAAAUAAAUAAAGGUCUGAAAUAAUAAUAUAAUCCGAUCCAAACAUGGAGGAGUUUGUCUGCUUCGGUAGCUAGCAAUGAAGCUCCUCUGAUGUUGCUUGGAUUUGGUUCGUUGUUACUAAUUACAUCUGUAUGUAUUAACAUGUUGUAUGUUUCGGUUUCUUAACCUACUGCCCACUGCCACAGUUGAUUUUUCCA
Ipomoea nil (Japanese morning glory) is the source of this 594-nucleotide long non-coding RNA. RefSeq lists it as uncharacterized. NCBI's taxonomy places the organism in Eukaryota, Viridiplantae, Streptophyta, Magnoliopsida, Solanales, Convolvulaceae. The record is from RefSeq and is a predicted model, not a curated record. The transcript has 2 exons.